UACAGAGGUCUCAAGCGUUGUUCGGAAUUACUGGGCGUAAAGGGCGCGUAGGCGGCCUGCUAAGUCGAACGUGAAAUCCCCGGGCUCAACCCGGGAACUGCAUCCGAAACCAUCUCGCUAGAGUAUGGGAGAGGGAAGCGGAAUUCCUGGUGUAGAGGUGAAAUUCGUAGAUAUCAGGGGGAACAUCUGCGGCGAAGGCGGCUUCCUGGCCCAUUACUGACGUUCAGGUACGAAAGCGUGGGUAGCAAACAGG
RNAcentral lists this ribosomal RNA (253 nucleotides) under uncultured prokaryote. Its description in RNAcentral is "partial 16S ribosomal RNA". It matches the Rfam family "Bacterial small subunit ribosomal RNA", at positions 524 to 776 of the family's 1533-position model. The record is from RNAcentral.